UACGGAGGAUCCGAGCGUUAUCCGGAUUUAUUGGGUUUAAAGGUUGCGUAGGCGGUUUGAUAAGUUAGAGGUGAAAUGUCGGGGCUCAACCCCGAAACUGCCUCUAAUACUGUUGGACUAGAGAAUAGUUGCGGUAGGCGGAAUGUAUGGUGUAGCGGUGAAAUGCUUAGAGAUCAUACAGAACACCGAUUGCGAAGGCAGCUUACCAAACUAUAUCUGACGUUGAGGCACGAAAGCGUGGGUAGCAAACAGG
This 253-nucleotide ribosomal RNA is filed under the name uncultured bacterium. RNAcentral's name for it is "partial 16S ribosomal RNA". It matches the Rfam family "Bacterial small subunit ribosomal RNA", at positions 524 to 776 of the family's 1533-position model. The record is from RNAcentral.